RNAcentral lists this ribosomal RNA (467 nucleotides) under uncultured bacterium. Its description in RNAcentral is "partial 16S ribosomal RNA". It matches the Rfam family "Bacterial small subunit ribosomal RNA", at positions 29 to 507 of the family's 1533-position model. The record is from RNAcentral.
ACGAACUCUGGCGGCGUGCUUAACACAUGCAAGUCGAACGGAAAGGCCCUGCUUUUGUGGGGUGCUCGAGUGGCGAACGGGUGAGUAACACGUGAGUAACCUGCCCUUGACUUUGGGAUAACUUCAGGAAACUGGGGCUAAUACCGGAUAGGAGCUCCUGCUGCAUGGUGGGGGUUGGAAAGUUUCGGCGGUUUGGGAUGGACUCGCGGCUUAUCAGCUUGUUGGUGGGGUAGUGGCUUACCAAGGCUUUGACGGGUAGCCGGCCUGAGAGGGUGACCGGCCACAUUGGGACUGAGAUACGGCCCAGACUCCUACGGGAGGCAGCAGUGGGGAAUAUUGCACAAUGGGCGGAAGCCUGAUGCAGCAACGCCGCGUGCGGGAUGACGGCCUUCGGGUUGUAAACCGCUUUCGCCUGUGACGAAGCGUGAGUGACGGUAAUGGGUAAAGAAGCACCGGCUAACUACGUG